Ochotona princeps (American pika) is the source of this 100-nucleotide small nucleolar RNA. The record is from Ensembl. Lineage: Eukaryota; Metazoa; Chordata; Mammalia; Lagomorpha; Ochotonidae.
GUCCUUCUGUGGUUCUCAAGUAAGGUGGGUCAUUUUCCCACCCCUGUGUGAGAUGUGCCUCCUUCAGGCCUUGCACCAGGGGCACAUGACCCGCCUGAUA